GUAUUCCUGAAGUGUACGCCAGCUUAUUGUUUUUACCCACAUUACAUAAUUCGGAGCUCGGGUCGUGGAACGGCUGUCAUGCCUCCGCAGAGUGGAAGACAAAAGUUUCUCGCAGGGCACCACCCUGCUUUACAUAGCGGGUGAAAAAACCGAGGCGAACGGCACUUUGGGGUACCU
This 177-nucleotide non-coding RNA is filed under the name Eubacteriales bacterium. RNAcentral describes it as "6S RNA". It matches the Rfam family "6S / SsrS RNA". From Rfam's summary of the family: E. coli 6S RNA was the first non coding RNA to be sequenced, but its function was unknown until recently. Lineage: Bacteria; Bacillati; Bacillota; Clostridia; Eubacteriales. The record is from RNAcentral.